CGCGCAGGCGGUCGUUCAAGUCGAGUGUGAAAGCCCCCGGCUCAACUGGGGAGGGUCAUUCGAUACUGAUCGACUCGAAGGCAGGAGAGGGUAGUGGAAUUCCCGGUGUAGUGGUGAAAUGCGUAGAUAUCGGGAGGAACACCAAUGGCGAAGGCGACUACCUGGCCUGUUCUUGACGCUGAGGCGCGAAAGCUAGGGGAGCAAACG
Molecule: ribosomal RNA, 207 nt
Filed under: uncultured bacterium
Lineage: Bacteria
Description: partial 16S ribosomal RNA
Rfam family: Bacterial small subunit ribosomal RNA
Source: RNAcentral